GAGCGAGGGUCCCCCGGGGCCCAAACCUCCCACCCUUUGCGAACCAUACCUCUUGUUGCUUUGGCGGGCCCGCGGGGUCACACCCGCCGCCGGCCCCGGCUGGCGAGCGCCCGUCAGAGUCCACCCCAAACUCUGUGAACCGUGACGUCUGAGUACAAACUUAAAUAGCAAAAAACUUUCAACAACGGAUCUCUUGGUUCU
Molecule: unclassified non-coding RNA, 201 nt
Filed under: rhizosphere metagenome
Description: partial ribosomal RNA internal transcribed spacer region
Source: RNAcentral